AAACCAUACAUAUUCAAGAAAAUUAAUGAGCAAUCCAACAGAGAUUAUCACCACAGGGCCUAGAAACGAGUUGCUAAAGGGAUAACACUUCACUCAAAACAAGAUAAACAAAGAAACACUGGUUUAUCUGCGUAUACAGAGGUGUUCAACAGAAUCAAACUUGGCACCAAAACGAGAGGGGGCCUUGGAAGCAUAAGAAACACACGGAUACGGGGGGCAAUAACAAGCAUUUACAUUCAAUCACUCGUGAGAAAACUUUUGAUUAACAAGUGAAUAGAAAGGAAUAGCAUGUCACCUUGUUUCGAGCAGCGAUACCGCGGACAGGACGAGUUGAGAUA
This 338-nucleotide unclassified non-coding RNA is filed under the name Hevea brasiliensis (rubber tree). The record is from RNAcentral. Lineage: Eukaryota; Viridiplantae; Streptophyta; Magnoliopsida; Malpighiales; Euphorbiaceae.